Molecule: long non-coding RNA, 3198 nt
Organism: Phyllostomus discolor (pale spear-nosed bat)
Lineage: Eukaryota; Metazoa; Chordata; Mammalia; Chiroptera; Phyllostomidae
Exons: 2
Source: RefSeq, a predicted model, not a curated record
ACUGCCAGAACUCCUUGUGCUAAAUAGUGGGAAAGAAGACAGAGUAAGCCAGAAAGUACCCUUCUGUGCUAGAACUCAUGAGGCAUAAGGGGAAAAUGACUUAUGCCAAACCCUAAUACCAAGCUAGAUAGUGGCAGCCCAAAAAUAGUGCUGGUGGUUGUUAGAAGUACAUAUAUAAGGAGCUUAUAUCACACUAAAUUCCUAGGCAGACUGGACCUGUAUUACAUGCCACGUGAUGUCAGAGAGAAUACUUCACCCUUCUCCAUAUGCAGCAACAAUUGGCACCUGUUGUUUCCUGCUUUCCACCUGUAUCAUUAAUCUGAUAGCACUUCUAGCUGCUAUGGAUGGCCCUGAACCAGACAGACUGCAGGGCACUGAGUGUUAGGACACUCAGCGUUUGGGAGUGCCCUCUGGCCCCACUGCCUAAGGACUAACCAUUUCUGGAGACUGGAAUCCCUCUGUCUCCCCACUAAUCACUGUGACAUGUUAACUGUUGAUUAGCACUUCUUUCUACUUAUGUCAUUGUUUUGGGGUCCCUUCUAAGAAUAGGAUUCUUUAAAAAGUUAUCCAGUAUAAUUGUGAGCACUAAGACUCAACCUCAUUUAAAUUGAUCACCCUUCUUUUGUUAGAUAAGCUAUAAAAGUGAAGUGCUUUGUUACAGCUUUGCUGAUUUUCUAUGGUAAUAGUGUGCAGCUGGGAGGUUGAGACUCAGAUAAAGGACGUGGGAGAGUGAGUGGCCCCUUUCCCUGCACAGCUGUGGCCUGGUGACUGCUGAAUACUAUCCCGGAAGAGAACAGCUGCUAAAAUUUUGGCUAUCUGUUAAAUUAUAUUGAAUACAAAUAGUAAUGUGGACCCCUUAUUUUGCCCCUGUUUGUCUACUGGCCGGAAAACUGGACCAUGUUAGGUAUGCUGUUGCUAUAAAAAAAUGAUAAAAUCUUUUUAUAUAAAUAAAUUAAACAGAAGUAAAAAUAAAAUCUAAAUGUAAAAGCCAAAACUUGAAAAGUAAUCAUUGUAUAGUAACGUUCCAUUCCUGGGAGUCCCCUUUGAGAAUAUCUGACUUCUCUAUUUAUUUUAGAAGGAUGGAAAACUGCUCAAGGUUACGGCUAAAGUUAGACCCCAGUUCUUUCCCUUCUAACCCAGCACUGUUUCCCUUGUACAACUUGUUAUAUAUCAAAACUCAUUUAUGCAAUAUUUUUUAGUGUUUUUCAGUGGAACGCUGAUAAAAGUUAACAACUGGCUCAUCAAGUGUAGUUUUAAUAUGAAUGUUGGUUGGUAUUUUCAUUAACGUAAAUAAGUAAGAUGAAAGUGCAACAAUGAAAGCAUGUCAGAACUUCACUCAUUCAUCAAUGAAGUGACUCUUUUGCUGCAUCAGACAACAGUUUUUGAUACUAAAAUGAUUCCUUACUUUUUUGUGAUAUUCAUAAUGCAAUGACUAUGGCAUGCACACUUUUAAGUUUAAUUAUCUCCAUCACCUUCAUAACCAAGGAUUGGCAUACUCUUUCUGUAAAGAGCCAAAGAGUAAAUAAUUUAGGCUUUAUGUGCCGCUUAUGGUCUCUCACAUAUUCUUUGUUUAUUUUACAACCCUUUAAAAAUGUGAAAAGCCCUGCUUUGCAGAAUUGGCCGUGGUGUCAGUACUCUCAGUAUUCAGCCCACCGACAUAUCUCUCAGCACAGUUAGGAGGAGGUGUGUAGUACAGCACCCUUAUGCACUGUUCCCAUGCAGAUUGAGUUACAGUAACGCACCCCAAAAGCAUACAUAGUACAAUAAUUAGUAAGUGGUGAGUUUUGAGUAUUAAUCACCUUCAUUUUUAAUUUAAUUUAUCUAAUUUUAAGUUUAUAUCAUUUAAUUUUUAACAGAGUCUGUGUUUAACAACUGACUUGCAAAAUUCCUGAAGAUUUAACACUCCGUUCUAGUGGGCUGGUAGACUGGCCCCAGCAAUGGCAUUUCUGUCAUGUUAUUCCAGACUGAGGCUUCCAGCAGAUGGAGUUGACUCCAUAGUUCUAUAUAACUGUACACUAUAAUAUUCAAAAUGGAUUAAAUUAGGGUUCUGAAAUGUCAAGUUUGGAUAGGUUUUAUUUCUUGUCUGCCUUUUUUUUUUAACUUGAAAGUAAUCAAUUUCCUGUGUUAGGAAAAUGCUUUGUUAAAUGAGAGUUCUGAGAAGGCUCAUGUUACUCUGGCUCUUGAACUUAAGUAAUAGAGAGCAUUCUCAUUUUGCCCUAAUGACUAUGGGAUGAUUCCAUUGUAUUUUGAGGUUUAUUUACAAAUACUGAUGAAUCUAGCACAACAUCCUAGUCAUUUUUUUGUUCAGCAUGAUAAAAUUAUUUAUACAGACCACAGUGUUUGUUUUUUAUUAUGGUAAGACAUAUAGACCAUAAACUUUGUCACUGUAACCACUUUAAGUAUACUGUUAAUUGGCAUUAAGUGUAUUAUCACUGGUGUGCGACCAUUGCCACCAUCCAUCUCCAGCACUUUAUGUUCCCAAACUGAAGUGCUGCACCCAUGUAAACUCCCCAUGACCCCUCCCCACACCCUGGCAACCACCAUUCCACUUUCCGUCUCUGUGAACUGACUACUUUAGGCACUUUAUAUAAGUUGAAUCAUACAGCAUUUUUGUGUGUGUGUGUGACUGGAUCUUUUCACUUAGCAUAAUGUUUUUAAGGUUUGCCCAUAUUAUACCCUGUGUCAGAAUUUCAUUCCUUCUUAGGGCUGAGUAAUGUUCCAUUAUAUGUAUAUACCACAUUUUGUUUAUCCAUUCAACCAUUUAUGGACAUUUCAGCUGUUUCCACCCUUUGGCUCUUAUAAAUAAUGCUACUUUGAAAAAUACCAACGUUUCAUUAGAAAAAAUAACAUGUAAACAUGGAUACUACCUGUUGACCAUGAGACAUAAAGAACCACAAGAACUAUGAGAUUUGAAAGCUCUAGACAAAAAUUCACUUUUGGGAGAAUAUAUAUGGACAUUUUUAGGUAAGUGGAGGAUCAAUUAGGUAUUUUAAAAAGGUUUUAUUUGGAAACACUGUGGCAUUCCUCCCAUGUUUGAAAAAUAGAGCAAUUAAUCUAUUUAUGAGACUUAAAUACAAUAUGAUCAACAUUAUCAUGGCAGUCUAACCUAUUGUAUAUGUGAAGGCCAAGCAAGUGAUAGGACAAAAGAAUAAUAUUAUGGUUUGUGUGGUUAAAUGGACUCUUAAAGAGCUAGUAAGU